This 518-nucleotide ribosomal RNA is filed under the name Blaps variolaris. Its description in RNAcentral is "partial 16S ribosomal RNA". It matches the Rfam family "Archaeal large subunit ribosomal RNA", at positions 1931 to 2688 of the family's 2987-position model. Lineage: Eukaryota; Metazoa; Arthropoda; Insecta; Coleoptera; Tenebrionidae. The record is from RNAcentral.
GUUAUGAUUUAAAGUCUGGCCUGCCCAAUGAUUUUUUAAAUGGCUGCAGUAUUUUGACUGUACAAAGGUAGCAUAAUCAUUAGUUUCUUAAUUAGAAGCUGGAAUGAAUGGUUUGAUGAGAAAUUAACUGUCUCAGUUUAAUUGUUUAGAAAUUUAUUUUUAAGUUAAAAAGCUUAAAUUUUUUAGAAAGACGAGAAGACCCUAUAGAGUUUAAUAUGUUGUUGGUUAUUAAUUUGAUGUUUUUAGUAUUUAUAAUUUUUUAACGUAUUUUGUUGGGGUGAUGAGAAAAUUUUUUUAACUUUUCUUUAUUUUUACACUUUUUAGUGAAUAUAUGAUCCUUUGUUUGGAUUGUUAGAUUAAAUUACCUUAGGGAUAACAGCGUAAUUUUUUUUGAAAGUUCUUAUUGAUAAAAAAGUUUGCGACCUCGAUGUUGGAUUAAAGUUUAUUUUUGGUGAAGAAGCUGGGAAAUUUAAGUCUGUUCGACUUUUAAAACUUUACGUGAUCUGAGUUCAGACCGG